This 587-nucleotide transfer RNA is filed under the name Borreliella burgdorferi (Lyme disease spirochete). RNAcentral's name for it is "partial may contain 16S ribosomal RNA and 16S-23S ribosomal RNA intergenic spacer". The stretch from base 137 to 210 matches the Rfam family "tRNA". Lineage: Bacteria; Pseudomonadati; Spirochaetota; Spirochaetia; Spirochaetales; Borreliaceae. The record is from RNAcentral.
UUCCCUACUCUUUUCUUUGAUAAGAGAGUUUUUUAAAACCAGUGUUUAUUUUAUGUAAGUUUAAGAGAAGUUUAUGUAUUAAAUUAUUGAUAUUAAAUAGUUUUUAUUAGGCUUAGACUUAAUUUUAGGUCAUUUUGGGGGUUUAGCUCAGUUGGCUAGAGCAUCGGCUUUGCAAGCCGAGGGUCAAGGGUUCGAGUCCCUUAACCUCCAUUGGGCUUAUGCCCUAAAUUGUAAUUAAGUAUGUUUUUAAGUAACUUUGUUAAAGUAAUUGUUGGAAUGUGAAACACAAGAAGUUAAAAUUUCUGGGUUAAGUUGAGAUCUGUUGAUAUUAAGAAAAAUGUCUAGAAGCAAAAGCAAGCUUUCGAUAAAACCCGAAGUUGUUUCGCUAAAGUGCAAGGAUUAAACAGGAUUGUAUUUUUCAGCAGCCUAUUUUAUAAACGAUCUGCAUUUAGUAAAUAGUUUUUAGUUAGGAAAUAAUGUAGAUUACUAAGUGUGAUGUCUGAGAGAAGGACAAGUAUUGUAGCGAGCUUAAAUCCUUAUUAUCGUUGCCAGUAUUUAGUGGUAGGGAUUCGGAUAAGAUUGCCAGU